This 497-nucleotide ribosomal RNA is filed under the name uncultured bacterium. RNAcentral's name for it is "partial 16S ribosomal RNA". It matches the Rfam family "Bacterial small subunit ribosomal RNA", at positions 28 to 507 of the family's 1533-position model. The record is from RNAcentral.
GAUGAACGCUGGCGGCGUGCCUAAUACAUGCAAGUCGAGCGAACAUACGAUGAGCUUGCUCCGCUGACGUGACCGACGGACGGGUGAGUAACACGUAGAUAACCUACCUAUAAGACUCGAAUAACGUCGGGAAACCCGAGCUAAUACCGGAUAAUAUAUUGAACCUCAUGUUACAAUAGUGAAAAUCGGUGUUGCUAUCACUUAUAGAUUGAUCCGCGCCGCAUUAGCUAGUUGGUAAGGUCACGGCUUACCAAGGCUACGAUGCGUAGCAGACCUGAGAGGGUGAGUGGCCACCCUGGAAGGGAGACAGGCCCCAGAGUCCUAGGGGAGCAGCCAUUAGGGAUUCUGCCGCAAGGAGUGAAGGCUGGACGGAGCAAGGCCGAGUGAGUGAUGAAGGUCUUCGGAUCGUAAAAUGCUGUUAUUAGGGAAGAAAAGAUGUGUAAGUAACUAUGCACGUCUUGACGGUACCUAAACAGAAAGCCACGGCUAACUACGUG